Non-coding RNA from Oncorhynchus mykiss (rainbow trout), 3838 nucleotides. The record is from RefSeq and is a predicted model, not a curated record. NCBI's taxonomy places the organism in Eukaryota, Metazoa, Chordata, Actinopteri, Salmoniformes, Salmonidae.
GCGCCCGGGUAAUUACUUUAAGCUGAAAUGGAGCGGCUCUCGUCAAAUCCACACAAUGCAAGAGGUGUGUUUGUUCAGGCAGGAGAUCACAACAGUGCUUCAUUGUACUCUUUAGUCAUGUGUUGUAUUCAAUUCAUAGAGCGUUCUUUUUCUUGGGAGAGGAAUUUCUCUUGAUAGACUACAUACAGCAAGACACAGCCACAGAAUCCCAACAACAAUCAACACACACAGAAAACACAGGAUGCACAGUGCAGAACAUCAAAUCAAAACCCUCACACACAGCCAGUAAAAACAAGCAGGGUUUAGGGAACAAUCUUGAAGAAACAUAGCAGUGGAGAAGUGAUUAAGGACUUCUCCCCCGGCUUAGCCACAUCUGGGUAGGGAAGGUCUCAGAUCUGCUACUUUUGGUGCUCGCUCUGUAGGUCUAUGAUCAGACUUUACUACAGAGACUGUGUGGUCUCACUCUGCCAGCUGGCACCUGCUGAGCUCCCAGCAUCAAGACAGGUCCCCACAUGACCUAGAUUUUUCACCUCUCCAACAGCUUCAGCCAGCUAGAUGCCUGGGAGCUGAGCUAAACAACAGUUCGUACAGGGCCUAGGGGAGCUCUACUGUGAGGAGGAAGGAUGAUUGAACGGGAGCUGGAGUAUUGUCCAGUAUAGCCAGAGAAGACAUCUCAGAGUUGUCACACAGGGGCUGAUGGGAUAGCUAGCAGAAGGGGUGGAGGACUGAGGACGCUCACAGCCAGAGUUGUGUAGGAGGCUCUCUGGAGGACUGGGUCUUGACUCUAAGGGUAUGUGAGCAUCAGUUGAACUUUUAUAUCACACUGGGAAUUUGAUCUUUCUAUUACUGUAUUUCAGUUGUUGUAUACGAUGGCCUCAAUAAUACUUUACUAAGACACUUUUGUCCAAAUCAGUUCCAACCAGUAGCUUCUGUUGCAUUAUCCGCCAUGUGAUGACUCCAACCUCCAUUGAUAAGUGACGACUCCUAGAGGGGGAAAAAAAAAAAACUUGAAAGCUGUACAUUUUUCUAUCUUUAACCAGCAAACAGAGAUACAGUAGACAUUCUAGAAUGGACUGACAUCAUUAGUUCAACAUCUGCUUCUACUUGUCAUUAGAUAGAGGUAUGGGGAGUUCUUUAGAAGAGUCUCCAGAUCAGACAGAUGUGGUGUAAAAGAUUCCUUCCUACCUGGGCCAUGGCUGACACAGUAUCCAAGAAUCCCUUUGCAGUGGAUAGGGACGCACACACACACACACACACACACACACACACACACACACACACACACACACACACACACACACCUGGGCCGUGGCUGUGGAGAGGGUCAGUCUGGUCUCCAGCAGUAGCACUCUGCUCUCCAGGUUCUCCCACUGGUGCUUGUCUAUAGUGAUACUCCCGGCCGAGGCCUUCUCUAGAAGCUCCAGCCUCUGCUCCAGGGCCAAGAGCAUCCCCAGCCUAGUCUGGAUCUGCGGCAGCUGGGCCUCCAGCACUGCCAGCCUCCCCUCCACCACCAGGUCCUGGAAGGGUGGUCACAAUCCAUUCUGUGUGUGUGUGUGUGUGUCACUUUGGUGCUGUGUGUUACAGAGAGAAGGGCCGUGUGUGUGUCUGUGCUUAUAAUUGUGGAGAAGUAUGCUGGUACUCACUGUUUGAGGGACUGUAGGUGCUUGGUUCUGGACCUCCUCCAGUCCCAGCCCCUCCUCCUCUUCCUCAGACUCUUCAUUAUCAGAGGUUCUACUAGAGGAGACCCAGGAGUCACCACCAAUGUGUCUCUCCACUAGUGGCCUGCUUAGGGACAACUGUGGGAAAGAACCAUCUCACCUAGUCAUGUUAAGGUCGGGCCAUGUACUCAUGCAGCAUUACAAUGGACAAUUUUAUUAUUUUAAAAUGUUUUAUUUAAUCUUUAUUUAACUAGGAUAGGUCAGGCCUUUUUGAUAAAGUGUAGAGAGUUGAACAGGUCUGUUGGGCUACACUGUCAUGUCCUUGGCAAAGACUUACUGUGGUAGCCAUGGGGUUCAUUGUUUCAGCCUGAAAUGGGAGAGCCUCACUUUUGGAGUCUGAACUCGAGGCCUGAAAACGAGCUCUCGGCUUUGGCUGCAACACACAGAUGCAAUACAUGGACCUUUUAUUUUACCAGGGCGAAGGAAAUGACAUCACAGAGGAUGCAGGUCUUUCUUUCUGCAAAGCCAAACUGGAGGAACUGCUGCUUGGUCAGGACGGGUUUGUAGUGGAAGAGAUCCCGCAGUACCUAGAUGUGGGUGAACAAUAGACAGUAUCACACACACACACGGCUGAAUUUGCCCUGCUGAAAAAUUGUUUCAAAUCAAAAAUACACCAUGGUUGUUUUUUCAUUCAAACAGUAAAAAAUGCAAAGAGCAAAACCAUAUUCAUUGAAUUGAAUUGAAUGUCAUUGAAAUGACAUUGCAAAGUAUCUGGUACAGGGGUUUUAAACUCAUUUUGCGCCGGGGGCCACAUUCGUUCUUCAAGAAGGUCCAGAGGGUCACACACAUUGCUUUUGCAAUUUGAUGCUACCCGACUGUCUCGGUUUCAUUUGAAUGAUUAUUAGUGAGCUGGACACAGUCAAGAAACAGUAUAAAUGUAGGUCCAUUAUAUUUUCUACAGUUUCCAUUUGGUUGUAAUCAUUUUUUUAAAAGUAUAUGGAGUUUGUUUUCCCUUCCAAAAAAUGAUGUGAAUUAAGUGUAUCGAGGCAAGGGAUACACAUGAAAAGGGAAUAAUAGGAGCUGGAACACAUAUGACAAAUCCAAACAUUCUACUGAUAAUUGUAAAACUCACUAUAGUUGACAUGAGUUCAGGGAAAGAUGGCAGUAGGUAUGACAGGAGGGCUAAAUGAGUGCUUCCCUGUUACACCGACUAUAAUGGAGAGCAAAUGGCUUGUCUCCUCUUUGCACCGUCUUCUGUAUGAAAUGCUGCUGGUGUGUCGGCCCAAUCUGUCUCCCAUAUUUUUGUGUGUGUGUGCAGGCCAGGCGAAGCAGUGACUGGGCGCCAGCCAGAGGGUCUCGCUCUUCCUUCUCCCUCUCCUCUCGCCAAAAUGAACCGAUGCUAUGAGAGGCAGAUAGCUCGCCUGCGGCUUCAGCACUAAGAGAACAGAAGACGGGAUUCUGAUCCGAGAUGAGAACUUGGACCAACAUGGAGUUCCUGUAUUUACCGCAGGAAUCAGGAUUUCAUGUGAGCCUUUAUAAAAUAAUUGCUCAAGGACGCUGUGCUGCCGACCACCGGUUGCCAGCUGGAAGGAAACACCAGAGAGUGUUUUAAAUACAGACGCUGCAGAUCAGGGCCCGCUCAGUGAAAACCCUUCUGGUUCUGAUAGCAGGGUUAACAGGCUACAGUACAGCCUCAACAAAAAGACUGAAAAACCCCUGAUGCAUGUACACAAGUCAUUCCUUCCAAGUCCUCAGUUGGUUGUGAUGAGAGAGGAGCUGUAAUAUUAGAACGUGAGAUGAAGGAAAUGGCUUAGCCUUGACCUGACCAAGCACAAUAUUGUGAAAAGGGGAAUUCCGACAGUGGGACAUUUCCCAUAGAUAAGAAUGAAUGGAAUUUCUAGACUACUUUAAGACUCCAUUCAUGUCAUUUGAGCACCACAGGAAUGAAAAGGAAUCCCACAUGUAGCCUACCUUUAACUUCUACAGGGGAAACCCUGCACUGUUUCAAAAUGACUUUAUUGGUAGUGAGUGAUGCAAUAGCAAUGUAUUCCAUGUGUGUGUAUUAGGGGAAAAUAUUGCAGUUCAGCUCAAGCUUGGAGGGGUUAAACCACAGCAGAGCGUCUGGGUAGACAGCCAUUGGCCUCAGGAGACCCCAAGGAAUAAACUGAAGUCACAGUGUG